RNAcentral lists this ribosomal RNA (466 nucleotides) under uncultured bacterium. RNAcentral's name for it is "partial 16S ribosomal RNA". It matches the Rfam family "Bacterial small subunit ribosomal RNA", at positions 29 to 506 of the family's 1533-position model. The record is from RNAcentral.
ACGAACGCUGGCGGCGUGCUUAACACAUGCAAGUCGAACGGAAAGGCCCUGCUUUUGUGGGGUGCUCGAGUGGCGAACGGGUGAGUAACACGUGAGUAACCUGCCCUUGACUUUGGGAUAACUUCAGGAAACUGGGGCUAAUACCGGAUAGGAGCUCCUGCUGCAUGGUGGGGGUUGGAAAGUUUCGGCGGUUGGGGAUGGACUCGCGGCUUAUCAGCUUGUUGGUGGGGUAGUGGCUUACCAAGGCUUUGACGGGUAGCCGGCCUGAGAGGGUGACCGGCCACAUGGGGACUGAGAUACGGCCCAGACUCCUACGGGAGGCAGCAGGGGGGAAUAUUGCACAAUGGGCGGAAGCCUGAGGCAGCAACGCCGCGUGCGGGAUGGCGGCCUUCGGGUUGUAAACCGCUUUCGCCUGUGACGAAGCGUGAGUGACGGUAAUGGGUAAAGAAGCACCGGCUAACUACGU